Molecule: ribosomal RNA, 210 nt
Filed under: uncultured Desulfobacterium sp.
Lineage: Bacteria; Pseudomonadati; Thermodesulfobacteriota; Desulfobacteria; Desulfobacterales; Desulfobacteriaceae
Description: partial 16S ribosomal RNA
Rfam family: Bacterial small subunit ribosomal RNA
Source: RNAcentral
GGUGGGGAUGACGUCAAGUCCUCAGGCCCUUAUGCCCAGGGCUACACACGUGCUACAAUGGGCGGUACAAAGGGUAGCGAUGCCGCGAGGUGAAGCCAAUCCCAAAAAGCCGUCCACAGUUCGGAUUGGAGUCUGCAACUCGACUCCAUGAAGCCGGAAUCGCUAGUAAUCGUGGAUCAGCAUGCCACGGUGAAUACGUUCCCGGGCCUU